UACAGAGGUCCCAAGCGUUGUUCGGAUUUAUUGGGCGUAAAGAGCUCGUAGGCGGUUCGGCAAGUCGGAUGUGAAAUCUCCACGCUCAAUGUGGAGGGGCCAUUCGAGACUGCCGUGACUAGAGUCCGGUAGGGGAGUGUGGAAUUCCCGGUGUAGCGGUGAAAUGCGCAGAGAUCGGGAGGAACACCCGUAGCGAAGGCGGCACUCUGGGCCGUGACUGACGCUGAGACGCGAAAGCGUGGGGAGCGAACAGG
Molecule: ribosomal RNA, 254 nt
Filed under: uncultured bacterium
Lineage: Bacteria
Description: partial 16S ribosomal RNA
Rfam family: Bacterial small subunit ribosomal RNA
Source: RNAcentral